This 72-nucleotide transfer RNA is filed under the name Flavobacterium sp. CF108. RNAcentral describes it as "tRNA_Leu_CAA". It matches the Rfam family "tRNA". Rfam says of the family: Transfer RNA (tRNA) molecules are approximately 80 nucleotides in length. Their secondary structure includes four short double-helical elements and three loops (D, anti-codon, and T loops). The record is from RNAcentral. Lineage: Bacteria; Pseudomonadati; Bacteroidota; Flavobacteriia; Flavobacteriales; Flavobacteriaceae.
GGGAUAGUAGUUUAAUUGGAAAAACAAUUACAACCACCGUAGAAGUUUUGGGUUCGAGUCCCAAAUGUCCCA